RNAcentral lists this ribosomal RNA (468 nucleotides) under uncultured bacterium. RNAcentral's name for it is "partial 16S ribosomal RNA". It matches the Rfam family "Bacterial small subunit ribosomal RNA", at positions 28 to 507 of the family's 1533-position model. The record is from RNAcentral.
GACGAACGCUGGCGGCGUGCUUAACACAUGCAAGUCGAACGGAAAGGCCCUGCUUUUGUGGGGUGCUCGAGUGGCGAACGGGUGAGUAACACGUGAGUAACCUGCCCUUGACUUUGGGAUAACUUCAGGAAACUGGGGCUAAUACCGGAUAGGAGCUCCUGCUGCAUGGUGGGGGUUGGAAAGUUUCGGCGGUUGGGGAUGGACUCGCGGCUUAUCAGCUUGUUGGUGGGGUAGUGGCUUACCAAGGCUUUGACGGGUAGCCGGCCUGAGAGGGUGACCGGCCACAUUGGGACUGAGAUACGGCCCAGACUCCUACGGGAGGCAGCAGUGGGGAAUAUUGCACAAUGGGCGGAAGCCUGAUGCAGCAACGCCGCGUGCGGGAUGACGGCCUUCGGGUUGUAAACCGCUUUCGCCUGUGACGAGGCGUGAGUGACGGUAAUGGGUAAAGAAGCGCCGGCUAACUACGUG